This 436-nucleotide ribosomal RNA is filed under the name uncultured Clostridium sp. Its description in RNAcentral is "partial 16S ribosomal RNA". It matches the Rfam family "Bacterial small subunit ribosomal RNA", at positions 341 to 792 of the family's 1533-position model. Lineage: Bacteria; Bacillati; Bacillota; Clostridia; Eubacteriales; Clostridiaceae. The record is from RNAcentral.
ACGGAAGGCAGCAGUGGGGAAUAUUGCACAAUGGGCGCAAGCCUGAUGCAGCGAUGCCGCGUGAGGGAAGAAGGUCUUCGGAUUGUAAACCUCUGUUUUUGGUGGAGAAUAACUGACGGUAGCCAAAGAGGAAGCCACGGCUAACUACGUGCCAGCAGCCGCGGUAAUACGUAGGUGGCAAGCGUUGUCCGGAUUUACUGGGUGUAAAGGGUGCGCAGGCGGGACUGCAAGUUGGAUGUGAAAUACCGAGGCUCAACCUCGGAGCUGCAUCCAAAACUGUAGUUCUUGAGUGGAGUAGAGGUAAGCGGAAUUCCGAGUGUAGCGGUGAAAUGCGUAGAUAUUCGGAAGAACACCAGUGGCGAAGGCGGCUUACUGGGCUCUAACUGACGCUGAGGCACGAAAGUGUGGGUAGCAAACAGGAUUAGAUACCCUGGUA